GAGAGUCUAAAAUGUACUGAGAGGCUUCUACAGAAUUUAUUUUGGGAAGAACAAAAUGAAGUUUAGUUAGCUGAAUUGGGUAGCAUUUCAUUCCAGGGCUUAGAAGACGAUGGUCGGAUAUGGGACGAGACAACUGGAAAUGCAUUGUCAAACUGAAUCAUGAGAAUUGACAGUUAUGUUGUCAUACAAUGUGUCACUAAUUUUUGGUCUGUUUUCAUUCUAUAUGAAUAGUUAUUGAUACACUUAUCUGCAAAAAAAGAAAGAAGUUGCAAAUCUGACUUCAGACACUUCCUAGCUGUGUGAUCCUGGACAAGUCAUUUAACCCUGGUUGGAAGCAAGGAAGAAAGGAAGGAAAGAAGGAGGAAGGGAAGGAAAAAAGGGAGGAAAGGUGAAAGAAAAGAAAGGAAGAAGGAAAGAAAGAAGGAUGGAAGAAAGAAGGAAAGAAGUGCAGGGUCUUGCACAUUUGAUUUCAAUUGUACAAGGAACUCCAAGAUGAGGAAAUUCCCUCUCCAAAGCAGGAUAACAAAAUUCAAGAGAUAUAUGAGACCUCAGAGGCCAUCUUUUACAACUUAUGCUUAAGAAAUUAUGCCUUUGAAGAUAGCUCCAACAUGGUAUCAUACAUCGUUUGCUUGAAGGCAUUGGGUAAGGGGGAACCUGUUACUUUUGGAGGGAACUCAUUCUGUUUUUGUAUAGUUCUAUUU
Molecule: long non-coding RNA, 701 nt
Filed under: Monodelphis domestica (gray short-tailed opossum)
Lineage: Eukaryota; Metazoa; Chordata; Mammalia; Didelphimorphia; Didelphidae
Description: lncRNA (ENSMODG00000047818.1)
Source: RNAcentral